UACGAAGGGGGCUAGCGUUGCUCGGAAUCACUGGGCGUAAAGCGCACGUAGGCGGAUCUUUAAGUCAGGGGUGAAACCCCGGAGCUCAACUCCGGAACUGCCUUUGAUACUGGGGAUCUUGGAGUCCGGGAGAGGUGAGUGGAACUGCGAGUGUAGAGGUGAAAUUCGUAGAUAUUCGCAAGAACACCAGUGGCGAAGGCGGCUCACUGGCCCGGUACUGACGCUGAGGUGCGAAAGCGUGGGGAGCAAACAGG
This 254-nucleotide ribosomal RNA is filed under the name uncultured bacterium. RNAcentral's name for it is "partial 16S ribosomal RNA". It matches the Rfam family "Bacterial small subunit ribosomal RNA", at positions 524 to 776 of the family's 1533-position model. The record is from RNAcentral.